GGAGGGGGCAAGCGUUGUUCGGAAUUACUGGGCGUAAAGGGCGCGUAGGCGGACGAUCAAGUCAGAGGUGAAAGCCCUGGGCUCAACCUGGGAACUGCCUUUGAAACUGAUAGUCUAGAGUCCGAGAGAGGAUGGCGGAAUUCCCAGUGUAGAGGUGAAAUUCGUAGAUAUUGGGAAGAACACCAGUGGCGAAGGCGGCCAUCUGGCUCGGUACUGACGCUGAGGCGCGAAAGCGUGGGGAGCAAACAGGGAUUAGAUACCCUGGUAGUCCACGCCGUAAACGAUGUGUGCUAGCCCGUUGGGGGAACCCUAGUUUCUCAGUGGCGCAGCUAACGCAUUAAGCACACCGCCUGGGGAGUACGGUCGCAAGAUUAA
RNAcentral lists this ribosomal RNA (375 nucleotides) under uncultured organism. RNAcentral's name for it is "partial 16S ribosomal RNA". It matches the Rfam family "Bacterial small subunit ribosomal RNA", at positions 527 to 897 of the family's 1533-position model. The record is from RNAcentral.